This 414-nucleotide ribosomal RNA is filed under the name uncultured microorganism. RNAcentral's name for it is "bacterial SSU rRNA". It matches the Rfam family "Archaeal small subunit ribosomal RNA", at positions 459 to 872 of the family's 1478-position model. The record is from RNAcentral.
CAGCAGCCGCGGUAAUACCGGCGGCCCGAGUGGCGGUCACUAUUAUUGGGCUUAAAGCGUCCGUAGCCGGGUUGGGAAGUCCUCCGGGAAAUCUGGCCGCUUAACGGUCAGAAUGCCGGAGGAUACUCCCAGCCUAGGGAGCGGGGGAGGCCGAGGGGAUUCCCGGAGUAGGGGUGAAAUCCUAUAAUCCCGGGAGGACCACCUGUGGCGAAGGCGCUCGGCUGGAACGCGUCCGACGGUGAGGGACGAAGGCCAGGGGAGCAAACCGGAUUAGAUACCCGGGUAGUCCUGGCGGUAAACGAUGCGGACUUUGUGUCGGACAAGCUAUGAGCUUGUCCGGUGCCGGAGGGAAACCGUUAAGUCCGCCGCCUGGGGAGUACGGCCGCAAGGCUGAAACUUAAAGGAAUUGGCGGG